Molecule: long non-coding RNA, 159 nt
Organism: Xyrauchen texanus (razorback sucker)
Lineage: Eukaryota; Metazoa; Chordata; Actinopteri; Cypriniformes; Catostomidae
Exons: 3
Source: RefSeq, a predicted model, not a curated record
CUUCCUAGUCUCCCUCCAGCCCCCCUCUCGGACAUCGCAGUGGACAUGGGUCAGGAGUCUCUGGACAACACAGGACAGGAAACCUUUACAGACAUAAGCUGGAAUGUGAGGAGGGAGUCAGACCCCUUCAAUGUAAUCAAUAGCUCAGCGCACCAGUCA